AAAAUAAUCCAACUCUUUUUUUACAGAAUAAUAUACCAGCACAUUUUUAAAAACCUGUAAGAUAUGGCAUGUAUGGAGAGAAUUUUCUGGCAAUAAAACAACACAAAAUCUACAUGUAUAUGGGGAUAAAUUUUCAUCUAAAGCAGACAUACAAGGUUCAAUAUACAACCUGCCUUUUUCAUAAUGAAAACAUUGAAGAACAGACACCAAGACCCCAAGCUUGCUUCAAAAUAGCUUAACCAGCAGAAUCUUUACAUUGUAGGCUCCACAGUGCCUUAACAUGAGAAGUUUUCAAAUCGUUUGACCAUGAUCUAAGGGGCUGAUAAAAUUUCUUAAGUGCUCUAGAAGCAAUGCAGUCACUGUCAGGAAAAUGAAGCCAGAAUUGUGUAAAAA
Long non-coding RNA from Saccostrea cuccullata (small rock oyster), 393 nucleotides. RefSeq lists it as uncharacterized. NCBI's taxonomy places the organism in Eukaryota, Metazoa, Mollusca, Bivalvia, Ostreida, Ostreidae. The record is from RefSeq and is a predicted model, not a curated record. The transcript has 4 exons.